UGAGAAGCAGUUGAGUCUAUCUA
This 23-nucleotide non-coding RNA is filed under the name Arabidopsis thaliana (thale cress). The record is from RNAcentral. Lineage: Eukaryota; Viridiplantae; Streptophyta; Magnoliopsida; Brassicales; Brassicaceae.